CUUAAGGAAUAUGAACUAGACCUUGCUAUUCAUAAAGUGGUCCUCAAGAGCUUCUAAGAAAUACAAAGUCACAGGCCCCAUUCCAGGCCUAUUAUAAGAAUCUUUAACAACAACAGUAGAUAGAGAAUAAAGAAUUAUUAUUUGAUAUAGAGUGGCAAGAAAAGCCCAUAUUCAAGCAGAGACAUGAAGGAAGUGAGGAAGCAAUUCAUAUAGAAAUGAGUAGAGUGCUCCAGAGAGAGGACACUAAAGGCAAAAAAGCCCCGGGGAGGAAGAGCACUUUGUGGCCACGAAACAGCAAAGAAGCCACUGGAGCUGGAACUGAAUAACUUCCGAAGUAAAGGACAGAAGCUGAUCACACAGAGGUGUCAAACUAUCGAAAGGUCUCUGGUUCUGCUGAGUUCAAGUGAGACAGAAAGCCACAGUGUUUCCUGGCACUAUCUUCAAACUAAACGAUGUGAUUCAAAUUUUCAUCUGCUUCCAGAGAAACUCAACCUAUGUCAAGUGGUAAAAGUGUAACAGCAGAGAGCUACACUUCUUAAAAGAAAUCUCCUGACUUCAUCCACAUAGAGUUGAUGUGCAUCAAAGAAAAAGGAACAGCAGCAAGAAAUGAGAUUCAAAUGAAAGAAUUCAAGAGAAAUAUGAAAUGAGACCAAAAGAAGAUUGGAAAA
This is a non-coding RNA of Oryctolagus cuniculus (rabbit), 668 nucleotides long. NCBI's taxonomy places the organism in Eukaryota, Metazoa, Chordata, Mammalia, Lagomorpha, Leporidae. The record is from RefSeq and is a predicted model, not a curated record.